Molecule: ribosomal RNA, 1404 nt
Filed under: Staphylococcus aureus
Lineage: Bacteria; Bacillati; Bacillota; Bacilli; Caryophanales; Staphylococcaceae
Description: partial 23S ribosomal RNA
Rfam family: Bacterial large subunit ribosomal RNA
Source: RNAcentral
UAAGCAGUAAGGCUGAGUAUUAGGCAAAUCCGGUACUCGUUAAGGCUGAGCUGUGAUGGGGAGAAGACAUUGUGUCUUCGAGUCGUUGAUUUCACACUGCCGAGAAAAGCCUCUAGAUAGAAAAUAGGUGCCCGUACCGCAAACCGACACAGGUAGUCAAGAUGAGAAUUCUAAGGUGAGCGAGCGAACUCUCGUUAAGGAACUCGGCAAAAUGACCCCGUAACUUCGGGAGAAGGGGUGCUCUUUAGGGUUAACGCCCAGAAGAGCCGCAGUGAAUAGGCCCAAGCGACUGUUUAUCAAAAACACAGGUCUCUGCUAAACCGUAAGGUGAUGUAUAGGGGCUGACGCCUGCCCGGUGCUGGAAGGUUAAGAGGAGUGGUUAGCUUCUGCGAAGCUACGAAUCGAAGCCCCAGUAAACGGCGGCCGUAACUAUAACGGUCCUAAGGUAGCGAAAUUCCUUGUCGGGUAAGUUCCGACCCGCACGAAAGGCGUAACGAUUUGGGCACUGUCUCAACGAGAGACUCGGUGAAAUCAUAGUACCUGUGAAGAUGCAGGUUACCCGCGACAGGACGGAAAGACCCCGUGGAGCUUUACUGUAGCCUGAUAUUGAAAUUCGGCACAGCUUGUACAGGAUAGGUAGGAGCCUUUGAAACGUGAGCGCUAGCUUACGUGGAGGCGCUGGUGGGAUACUACCCUAGCUGUGUUGGCUUUCUAACCCGCACCACUUAUCGUGGUGGGAGACAGUGUCAGGCGGGCAGUUUGACUGGGGCGGUCGCCUCCUAAAAGGUAACGGAGGCGCUCAAAGGUUCCCUCAGAAUGGUUGGAAAUCAUUCAUAGAGUGUAAAGGCAUAAGGGAGCUUGACUGCGAGACCUACAAGUCGAGCAGGGUCGAAAGACGGACUUAGUGAUCCGGUGGUUCCGCAUGGAAGGGCCAUCGCUCAACGGAUAAAAGCUACCCCGGGGAUAACAGGCUUAUCUCCCCCAAGAGUUCACAUCGACGGGGAGGUUUGGCACCUCGAUGUCGGCUCAUCGCAUCCUGGGGCUGUAGUCGGUCCCAAGGGUUGGGCUGUUCGCCCAUUAAAGCGGUACGCGAGCUGGGUUCAGAACGUCGUGAGACAGUUCGGUCCCUAUCCGUCGUGGGCGUAGGAAAUUUGAGAGGAGCUGUCCUUAGUACGAGAGGACCGGGAUGGACAUACCUCUGGUGUACCAGUUGUCGUGCCAACGGCAUAGCUGGGUAGCUAUGUGUGGACGGGAUAAGUGCUGAAAGCAUCUAAGCAUGAAGCCCCCCUCAAGAUGAGAUUUCCCAACUUCGGUUAUAAGAUCCCUCAAAGAUGAUGAGGUUAAUAGGUUCGAGGUGGAAGCAUGGUGACAUGUGGAGCUGACGAAUACUAAUCGAUCGAAGAC